GAGAAAUUCAAAUACAUAGGAUGACACUGCCCAGAAGAGACAACGAAGAGUGAGGGGCUCAGAGCAAGUGUGCAAGGCUGUCAAGACGAGUAAUCUCAUCUUUUUGUACGGAAUCAAAGAGGUACCUAAGAGGACAUGUUCUUACAAGAUGAGAGGUGAAACGUCUGGGAGUCUGUGGUGUGGUUUAUGUAAACAUUUCGUUGUUUCCCAGACGUUUCA
This 219-nucleotide unclassified non-coding RNA is filed under the name Hevea brasiliensis (rubber tree). Lineage: Eukaryota; Viridiplantae; Streptophyta; Magnoliopsida; Malpighiales; Euphorbiaceae. The record is from RNAcentral.